UCGCAUCAUUACCCUCUUUAUCUUGCACUAAACCUGAGGAAAUAAAAUUACAAUCUUGACAUGUAGUUUAACACAAUACAGCAGAUAAGACUAAAAUCUCAUGUCAAAUGCUUCUUUUACGAAGAACAGUUUGUACGUCUUGAUAUGUCGGUGAACACAAUAUACCGAGAAACAACGAAAACAAUGGUGGCCCAUCAAAACGACUUGUUGAGUAAAAUAUUGUUGUCCAACUACGCAUGCAAUGUCGUCAUUCAGCACUACCCUUCGUUUUCGUAUUACUUCGGGAACUGGAAUGAAGCUCGUAUGUCAACAUCCUAAUAACGAUCUGGAAUAUUGAAGUCGAGAAAAAAAAAAGAAAAAGUAAAGACCGACCGCAAGGAUACAAAUUAACGAUCUGCAACCGACUAUUCUAAAGGUACAGUACAAAGAUUCGGGUAUCAGAGUUCAAAAAUGACUUACUGUAAGGUAGGUGAAACCAUGGAAUCCGAACCUAGUUACUCGACAAGAGUUCUGCAACAAUCUUCAACCUGUCAGCUAGAAGAUUUCGUCAGUUUUUUUUUAGUAAAGAACACUUUGUAAAAAAAUUAAAGCAGAUGCUCACACAUUCCCAAACAUGGUCUGGACCAUCUUCAAACCCCGAAUACAACAAUCUCACCCAAGACCGCCAGUCGGAACACUUGGAAUGUUGUCAUCCACAAUGGCCAGCAAAAA
RNAcentral lists this long non-coding RNA (711 nucleotides) under Musa acuminata (dwarf banana). RNAcentral's name for it is "long non-coding RNA (MACU_LNC000995)". The record is from RNAcentral. Lineage: Eukaryota; Viridiplantae; Streptophyta; Magnoliopsida; Zingiberales; Musaceae.